AUCUACAACCAUUCCACCCUGGACACACCUGAUCUCAGAAGCUCAAAAGGGUUAGGCCUGGUUAGUUUUUGGAUGGGAGAAAGAGACAGAGAGAAAGGUCUCGUGGUCU
Molecule: ribosomal RNA, 109 nt
Filed under: Erinaceus europaeus (western European hedgehog)
Lineage: Eukaryota; Metazoa; Chordata; Mammalia; Eulipotyphla; Erinaceidae
Source: RNAcentral